This 497-nucleotide ribosomal RNA is filed under the name uncultured bacterium. RNAcentral describes it as "partial 16S ribosomal RNA". It matches the Rfam family "Bacterial small subunit ribosomal RNA", at positions 28 to 507 of the family's 1533-position model. The record is from RNAcentral.
GAUGAACGCUGGCGGCGUGCCUAAUACAUGCAAGUCGAGCGAACAGACGAGGAGCUUGCUCCUCUGACGUUAGCGGCGGACGGGUGAGUAACACGUGGAUAACCUACCUAUAAGACUGGGAUAACUUCGGGAAACCGGAGCUAAUACCGGAUAAUAUAUUGAACCGCAUGGUUCAAUAGUGAAAGACGGUUUUGCUGUCACUUAUAGAUGGAUCCGCGCCGCAUUAGCUAGUUGGUAAGGUAACGGCUUACCAAGGCGACGAUGCGUAGCCGACCUGAGAGGGUGAUCGGCCACACUGGAACUGAGACACGGUCCAGACUCCUACGGGAGGCAGCAGUAGGGAAUCUUCCGCAAUGGGCGAAAGCCUGACGGAGCAACGCCGCGUGAGUGAUGAAGGUCUUCGGAUCGUAAAACUCUGUUAUUAGGGAAGAACAAAUGUGUAAGUAACUAUGCACGUCUUGACGGUACCUAAUCAGAGAGCCACGGCCAACUACGUG